UGAAGAACAGGCUUGAAGGGGCCUAUAAAAGGACCUAAGAAUUGUAGUUACAGGCUGACUUGGCUGUAUGGAGCUCUUCCCACCUUUCUUACCAUGUGAAGGGAAGAAUGAGGCUUACUGCUAAGACUCCGCAGAUCUCAGUUCCAGAUUUCUGUGAAAACUGUUCCGCCAAGUAUGAGGUACUUAAGCAGUCAUUUAGGCUUGAAUUACUUCAAGAUUACCUGAGAGUCCCUCCUACAAAGAAUUUCCAGAACAUUUUGCAAAGAACUGGGGGUGCCACUGCGCAUCUGGGUACUUGCAAACUGAUGUGCUGCUUUUGUCAUGACUGCUGUGUAACUGUCUGGGGACCUAGAUGAAAACAGGGUAAGCUCCCUUGCAUCUAUUUUAAGGCAAGCUCUUGCACAUGGACUGUAACUAUGGAGAAAUUAGUGUACUGUGUGUUCUCACCCUCACUUCACCCUGAAGUAACUUAAGUGCAACUAUAAAUAGAAAAUCC
RNAcentral lists this long non-coding RNA (496 nucleotides) under Struthio camelus australis. RNAcentral describes it as "lncRNA (ENSSCUG00000016639.1)". Lineage: Eukaryota; Metazoa; Chordata; Aves; Struthioniformes; Struthionidae. The record is from RNAcentral.